CUCAGUAACACGUGGAUAACCUUCCCUUAGGACCGGAAUAACCCCGGGAAACUGGGGGAUAAUACCGGAUAAGCCAUAGACGCUGGAAUGCCCUAUGGUUCAAAGCUCCGGCGCCUAAGGAUGGAUCUGCGGUCUAUCAGGUUGUAGUGGGUGUAACGUACCUACUAGCCGACGACGGAUACGGGUUGUGAGAGCAAGAGCCCGGAGAUGGAUUUUGAGACACGAAUCCAGGCCCUACGGGGUGCAGCAGGCGCGAACACUUUACAAUGCGGGAAACCGCGAUAAGGGAACCCCGAGUGCCAGCAUCAAAUGUUGGCUGUCCAGAUGAUUAAAAAUCAUUUGUUAGCAAGGGCCGGGCAAGACCGGUGCCAGCCGCCGCGGUAACACCGGCGGCCCGAGUGGUAGCCGUUUUUAUUGGGUCUAAAGGGUCCGUAGCCGGCCUGAUAAGUCCUUUGGGAAAUCUGGCAGCUUAACUGUCAGGCUUCUAAGGGAUACUGUCAGGCUUGGGACCGGAAGAGGUAAGGGGUACUCCAGGGGUAGGAGUGAAAUCUUGUAAUCCCUCGGGGCCCAUCUGUGGCGAAGGCGCCUUACCAGAACGGGUCCGACGGUGAGGGACGAAAGCUAGGGGAGCAAACCGGAUUAGAUACCCGGGUAGUCCUAGCUGUAAACGAUGCUCGCUAGGUGUCAGACACGGUGCGACCGUGUUUGGUGCCGCAGGGAAGCCGUGAAGCGAGCCACCUGGGAAGUACGGUCGCAAGACUGAAACUAAAG
This 771-nucleotide ribosomal RNA is filed under the name uncultured archaeon. Its description in RNAcentral is "bacterial SSU rRNA". It matches the Rfam family "Archaeal small subunit ribosomal RNA", at positions 89 to 861 of the family's 1478-position model. The record is from RNAcentral.